Molecule: non-coding RNA, 29 nt
Filed under: Mus musculus (house mouse)
Lineage: Eukaryota; Metazoa; Chordata; Mammalia; Rodentia; Muridae
Source: RNAcentral
UCUAUCAUGAUAUUUUCUGGUUUUGGAUA